RNAcentral lists this ribosomal RNA (400 nucleotides) under uncultured bacterium. RNAcentral's name for it is "bacterial SSU rRNA". It matches the Rfam family "Bacterial small subunit ribosomal RNA", at positions 355 to 772 of the family's 1533-position model. The record is from RNAcentral.
UGGGGAAUAUUGGACAAUGGGCGCAAGCCUGAUCCAGCAAUGCCGUGUGUGUGAAGAAGGUCUUCGGAUUGUAAAGCACUUUCGACGGGGACGAUGAUGACGGUACCCGUAGAAGAAGCCCCGGCUAACUUCGUGCCAGCAGCCGCGGUAAUACGAAGGGGGCUAGCGUUGCUCGGAAUGACUGGGCGUAAAGGGCGCGUAGGCGGCUUGUACAGUCAGAUGUGAAAUUCCCGGGCUUAACCUGGGGACUGCAUUUGAUACGAGCGGGCUAGAGUGUGAAAGAGGGUCGUGGGAUUCCCAGUGUAGAGGUGAAAUUCGUAGAUAUUGGGAAGAACACCGGUGGCGAAGGCGGCGACCUGGUUCAUGACUGACGCUGAGGCGCGAAAGCGUGGGGAGCAAC